AUUGAACGCUGGCGGCAGGCCUAACACAUGCAAGUCGAGCGGAUGAAGGGAGCUUGCUCCUGGAUUCAGCGGCGGACGGGUGAGUAAUGCCUAGGAAUCUGCCUGGUAGUGGGGGAUAACGUCCGGAAAUGGGCGCUAAUACCGCAUACGUCCUGAGGGAGAAAGUGGGGGAUCUUCGGACCUCACGCUAUCAGAUGAGCCUAGGUCGGAUUAGCUAGUUGGUGGGGUAAAGGCCUACCAAGGCGACGAUCCGUAACUGGUCUGAGAGGAUGAUCAGUCACACUGGAACUGAGACACGGUCCAGACUCCUACGGGAGGCAGCAGUGGGGAAUAUUGGACAAUGGGCGAAAGCCUGAUCCAGCCAUGCCGCGUGUGUGAAGAAGGUCUUCGGAUUGUAAAGCACUUUAAGUUGGGAGGAAGGGCAGUAAGUUAAUACCUUGCUGUUUUGACGUUACCAACAGAAUAAGCACCGGCUAACUUCGUG
RNAcentral lists this ribosomal RNA (484 nucleotides) under uncultured bacterium. RNAcentral describes it as "partial 16S ribosomal RNA". It matches the Rfam family "Bacterial small subunit ribosomal RNA", at positions 30 to 507 of the family's 1533-position model. The record is from RNAcentral.